CUUUCUUUGCUGGCGACCGGCGCACGGGUGAGUAACACGUAUCCAACCUGCCCUUUACUCGGGGAUAGCCUUUCGAAAGAAAGAUUAAUACCCGAUAGCAUAAUGAUUCCGCAUGGUUUCAUUAUUAAAGGAUUCCGGUAAAGGAUGGGGAUGCGUACCAUUAGGUUGUUGGUGAGGUAACGGCUCACCAAGCCUUCGAUGGAUAGGGGUUCUGAGAGGAAGGUCCCCCACAUUGGAACUGAGACACGGUCCAA
This 254-nucleotide ribosomal RNA is filed under the name uncultured bacterium. Its description in RNAcentral is "partial 16S ribosomal RNA". It matches the Rfam family "Bacterial small subunit ribosomal RNA", at positions 79 to 334 of the family's 1533-position model. The record is from RNAcentral.